This 339-nucleotide ribosomal RNA is filed under the name uncultured Sphingomonas sp. Its description in RNAcentral is "bacterial SSU rRNA". It matches the Rfam family "Bacterial small subunit ribosomal RNA", at positions 468 to 806 of the family's 1533-position model. The record is from RNAcentral. Lineage: Bacteria; Pseudomonadati; Pseudomonadota; Alphaproteobacteria; Sphingomonadales; Sphingomonadaceae.
AAUGACAGUACCGGGAGAAUAAGCUCCGGCUAACUCCGUGCCAGCAGCCGCGGUAAUACGGAGGGAGCUAGCGUUGUUCGGAAUUACUGGGCGUAAAGCGUACGUAGGCGGUUAUUCAAGUCAGAGGUGAAAGCCCGGGGCUCAACCCCGGAACUGCCUUUGAAACUAGGUAGCUAGAAUCUUGGAGAGGUCAGUGGAAUUCCGAGUGUAGAGGUGAAAUUCGUAGAUAUUCGGAAGAACACCAGUGGCGAAGGCGACUGACUGGACAAGUAUUGACGCUGAGGUACGAAAGCGUGGGGAGCAAACAGGAUUAGAUACCCUGGUAGUCCACGCCGUAAA